This 3475-nucleotide long non-coding RNA is filed under the name Sorghum bicolor (sorghum). Its description in RNAcentral is "long non-coding RNA (SBIC_LNC005916)". The record is from RNAcentral. Lineage: Eukaryota; Viridiplantae; Streptophyta; Magnoliopsida; Poales; Poaceae.
AUAUAUAUAUGAAACCAUAAUUCAACAACAAUAUAUCACAAACCACAUAUUUAUAUCACAAACAAAUUUGUCACGACAAGUCCGAAAUUCACAAUAUCUUACAAACCAAAAGUUCAAAGUUCAUAAGUUCAUUGUAUAAAAAACAACUCCCCAAGCUGCUCACGGUGACUGUGAGGGUUGGGAUGGCCCAAGGUGCGAUCUCGAUGACGGUCCGGGUGGGGAAUAGCCCGACGUGCGAUGCCGACGACCCUCCAUAAUGGUUCGAUGCCUCCGUCUGAUUGAUGCUGCACAAAAGAGAAGAGAUUGCACGUGAAUGACAAGAUAAAUAUGUAAGUAGUUUAAAGAAAAGUUAAAAAAUUCAGCAUCACCUCCCAUGCAUGGGGAGGUUUCCAAAACCUACAAGAAAAACGUCGGCAUGAAGGUCGACAACCACAGUUCCGGUAUGAAGGCCGACACAUCAAAAAAUUCAGCACGAAGGCCCAGACAUUCACAAAUCCGGCACGAAGGCCAUCACUAGGUUUGACACUAAGCAUGAGCAUAGAAAAUAAAACAUUCGUACUCAUCACCAGGCAGAGGCACUCGGCAAAGAAGCUUACUUUGCCGAGUGCUAAGUCCUAGCACUCAGCAAAGCUUAACAGCGUGGGUGGGAUCGACUGUCACUUGAUGCUGUUUUUGCCGAGGGCCAGCAUUGCUGAGUGUUGCACUCGACAAAAAAGGCCUUUGCCGAGUGUCACUCUUUGCCAAGUGCGAGGUACUCGAUGGCACUCGACAAAGGCCUAUUAUGCCGAGUGCAACACUCGGCAAACUAAGGAUUUGCUGUGUGCCCAUGUUAACUCGACAAAGCCUCCUGCACUCACCAAACAGCACAAUCCCCCGGAUUCCCUCAUCCAAAGGCGUCGGCGUCGAUCAUGUGGUUACUGGCACCUAUGUCCAACACCCACACACCGUUAGGGACAUCCCACGGGACCGCGUUCUCCGCUAGGUGAACAAUGUAUGUCGGCCUGCGUAUGAUGUCACGUUGCCAGCAUGAGCAUCGGCCCCAUGCUGCCCACGGCCACGUCCCUUCCGAUUAGUGUCUCCCUUGGUGAGGACAGAUGACCUUCGGUGAACCUCGAUUAAAGAUGUCAAUGGGGGCCCACGAUCCGCGACCCGAUGGGUAUUUACUCUAUUAGUGUAUCAAUAUGGAGUGAAACCAGUACCCAUGGGUACAUAAACGGAGCAAACCCUUUACCCAUUGGGUACGCGGGUAUGGGGACGUUCUAGUAGUCCCCAUACCCAUUUACCCAUGGGUGAAAAAUACCCAGUCUAAAACUAAAGAAGCCCACCAGCCACCAGUCCACCGGCAGCCCAUACAUUGAAACCCUAUGUAGUGCUAGCAAAGUACUACUCUCUACUAUGUGAUUUGUAUGGACAAUGAACUAUUAUGGUGUUGUGACUAGUGGUUGCAGCAGAAAUUAUUAUGUUGCUAUUUGCUAGGUAUAUGGUGGGGUGGCUAUGUGACGAUGCUUGUGAAUGGCUAUGUGACGAUGCUUGUGAAUUGCUACUACGUGACUGGUGCUUGUGAAUUGUUGAUGUUUGGCGGGUAUGGGUGACCCGCUGGGUCUAAUUUACCCACCCGGGUAUGGGUCUGGAGAAAUUCCCCCACCCAUCACUGUAUAUGGGGAUACCCGUGGUGUCAUAUUGUUGUCAUGGGGAUGGGUCUGGGGAGUUCAUACCCGAUGGGAAUUUACCCAUUGCCAACACUAACCUCGAUGGCUAUAGGUCGGAGUGCCGUCAUCGAAGUGAGGAACACCCAAGCACCCCAAAGGUCUUAAUGGACCUUCAUCGUGGCUCGACUAGGGCCCAUGAGGAAAGGCGUUUUUUGCAAGAGAAAGUCGACGAUGCUCUUUGUGUGAGAACUCUAUGAAUAGGGAAUAUUCGGCAAUAUACCCUAGCUAGCGGAGGGUAGAAGCAUACAAGAAAAUACAUAUAAUAACGAUACCCUAUAAAAGAGGGACUCGGGUUUCAAUUAAGAGAGAGCAUUUUUUUUUGCUUAGAAACGACCUUGGAGCUUUAGCCUCGGUAAUCGUGUAGUCAUCUGACAAUGGAGGCCCCCAGGCUCGUGUCAAGGGACUUCAUUGUCGAAAGUUCGAACCGCCCCAUGUUCAACCUCCUCCUUGUCACUUGUUCAGGAGAUCGAAACCACUCUGGCCCUGUUUAGAUUGGAGAUGAAAAUUUUUUGGGUGUCACAUCGGAUAUGUCGGAAGGAUGUCGGGAGAGGUUUUUAGAUACUAAUAAAAAAACAAAUUACAUAGCUCGUCAGAAAACUGCAAGACAAAUCUAUUAAGCAUAAUUAAUUUGUCAUUAACACAUGUUGGUUACUGUAGCACUUAAAGCUAAUCAUGGAGUAACUAGACUUAAAAGAUUCGUCUCGCGAUUUUCAACCAAACUGUGUAAUUAUUUUAUUUUUUUAAUGUACAUUUAAUGUUCCAUGCAUGUGUCCAAAGAUUCGAUAGGAUGGAUGAAAAAAUUUUGGGUAAAAAACUAAACAGAGAUUCAGGAGAGCGCACGUGGGUUAUGUUUAAUUUGAAGCUUCACGCUUUGUAUCAUCUAUAAAGUGUUGAACAGGUCAUUAACAGCCUUACCCGGCCUGCAGGAAAUUUUAACUAAGUAAUAAACGACCAGUGUUUGUCCCAUGAGCUUUGAAUCUUGAGUAUUGUACUCGAUCUUGAUCCCAAGUUUUAACGACGCGAUGAUGCUUGUGAGAACACUGACAGAGACCGCCAACGUACAGACGACGAUGCUGGGUGUACAUAGCAUAGCCAGCAGGCAUAAAGCCAAGUACGUACAUACGCCGCAGUGCAUAGGCAGCUGGCAAGGGGUGUACGGUGACACAACCGAAGCAUGUCUACACUCCGGCGAAGGGCGGCGGCAGUGACGGACCCAGAAAUUGACCAAGACUGGCCAAAUUUUGGUGGCCAAAAUCCAAAAGCUAUAACCUAUACCUAUAGUCUAUAGGACCAUAUAUAUAUACACAAACACACAGCGAGUGACAUGUCCUAGUUUGGACAAGAUAUAAGAGUUAAUAAGAACAACGAUAGCCAAAAUCAUAAUCGCAGCAAGUGACAUGCCCUUUUCAUCUAAUUGGAAUCAAAAUUUCACAAUUAGUAAUUGAAAUAAAAAAAUAAGAACUGAACUACUGAAAAUUAAAAGAAUACAUACCUUCUGCUAAUCUACUCCACUGGCACUCUUGCAGCGAGUGGCAUGCACGCAGUCAGCAGUCCGGUCGCGGGUCGGCCCUGGUUACUUGGUCAGGUCGCGGUCGAGGGGCUUCAAGGAGGCAGCAAGCAGAGGAGCUGAGGAGGGACGCCGGAGUCCGCGAGCUGGCGACCACGAGGGCACGCGACUACGCGAGGCUGAGGCGUGCUGCACUGCGCCGCGUGCAGCGGUGUGCAGGGGGCAGCGGGGCACGUGCAGGGGGCAGGGGGCGGCAGGG